Molecule: RNA transcript, 19177 nt
Organism: Columba livia (rock pigeon)
Lineage: Eukaryota; Metazoa; Chordata; Aves; Columbiformes; Columbidae
Gene name: transcription initiation factor TFIID subunit 4
Exons: 16
Source: RefSeq, a predicted model, not a curated record
CCGGCGCGCCUGCGCGCUGCGCGGCCGGCUCCCAGCUCAGCGCAAGAUGGCGGCGGGCGCCUCGGACCCCCUGGAAGAGAUGCUGCUCUUCUCCGAGGAGGUGGACGAGAAGGCGGUCAGCGACCUGGUGGGCUCCUUGGAAUCGCAGCUGGCCGGCGGCCGGGGCUCCGCCGAGGCGCCCCAGCCCAGGACCUCCGCCCCGUCCCAGCAGCAGCAGCCGCAGCAGCAGCAGCACCAGGGGAGCCUAGCGGGGGGCAGCAGCCCGGUCCGGCAGCAGCAAGGGCAUCCCGCGCCCCCUCCUGCGCCCGGGGUAGAGGAGGCGGCGGGGUGCCCCGGAGCCGCGGAGAGCCGAGCCCCUGCCCAGGGGCCGCUCCCGUCCCCGUCCCCCCCGGCGGCAGCAGCGGCGGCAGCGGCGGCGGCAGGGAGGGGAGUGAGUGUAAACAGUAGUAGUGUGCAGCAAUCACAUGGACCGGCUCUCCUCAGCAGCGGCGGCAGCAGCCCCGCCGCCCCUGCCCCGCCGCAGCCCGCUGCCCCCCCGCCCGCCGGCGCCCCUGCCCAGCCUGUCAACAACCAUGUGGCUGCCGGCGCCGCUGUCCGGGACGCGGGGAGCCCCAGCCCCGGCGGCAGCCCGCCCGCCGCUGACAGCGCACCGCCGCAGCGCGCCGAGGCCGCGGCGGGGAACGAGACCCCCGCGGGGGGCACCGGGCCGGCGGGAGCGGCGGAGGGCGCCGCCGCCGCCACGACCGCGCCGCUCCCCGGCGAGGCGGCGCCCAACGGGGAGGGCGCCGGGGGCCGGCCAGCGGCAGCCCCACCAGUCAGCAGCCACGGCAGAGCCGACGCCGCCACAGCACAGACCAAGCCCGCGCCCGGCCCGCUCCCCGCAGUAAACGCACUCAGUAACUCCGCCAGCCCCGCGCCCAACGCGGCCGCCCCGCCGGGACAGGGUUCGGUCGCCAACUGCGCCCCGGCGGCCCCCGGAGCCGCGCCCAAGACGGCGGUCACCGCCGCGGGCGUCGCCAAGGCGGGCGCUGCCCUCCCCGUCGCCCCCGCCGCCCCCCAGGCCCUGUCGCCCAGGCCGGCGAUGGGCGCUGCCCCCCGGAUCGUGGCCCCCCAGCUGAUCGUGAGGCCGCCGCAGCAGCCCGCCAUCCAGCAGACCACCAUCCAGCUGCCCCCCGGCUUCACCAUCCCGCCCGGUAUGGUCUUGGUGCGCACGGAUGCUGGACAGCUUGUGAUGGUGCCUCAGCAGGCUCUGGCGCAGGCUCAAAUGCAGGCUCAAGUACAAACACAGGGACAAGGUCCUACCAGCAUCUCACCCAGACUGUCAGUGCCCACAACUGGCCCCGUUUUUCGAUUAUCAACAACUCAGCAACCACCUUCUGUAGCCACGUCCACUGUCCGCCUGGGACUUCCAGUGCAAGCCAAAGUCGUUCAGUCAACGGCUGCGCCUGUCAGUGCCACGUCUGCCGGGGCUCUGCCGGGAGGCUCUAUUCUCUCACAUACCACAGUAUCAGUAGCUACAACGAGUGCUCAAAGUUUGUUCAAGACAACAGUAGCGACUGGAACAUCAGCCUCUCAGCAACCUGCAGUAAUUGGUGGGCAAACUCAAGCUUCAGCACAAAACCAGGGUCAGCCUCGGCUGCCGCUUCCACCUCAUACAACAGCACAAGUCCCAGCACAGCCCCAGGUCAUACCGAGCUCUCCUCUACCUGGAACUACAGUUGUAUCACAGGAAAUGCAAGAGAAUGUGAAAAAAUGUAAAAACUUUUUAGCUACCCUUAUAAAACUUGCUUCUCAUAACUCACCAUCUCCAGAAACGUCCCGUAAUGUGAAAGCUCUGGUUCAGGAUUUGUUGGAUGCAAAGAUUGACCCGGAAGAAUUUACAGGCCGCCUUCAGUCGGAACUCAAAUCAUCUCCUCAGCCAUACCUUGUACCUUUCCUUAAGAAAAGUCUACCUGCAUUGAGACAAUCUUUACUGAAUAGUCAACAUUCAGUUUUGCAAGGACAGCCGUCUCAGCAGUCACUUCAACAAACCAAGCUACCACAAGUUAUACCUCAAUCUGCCUCUGGAAGCAUUUCCUCUGUUGUCGCAACGCAGACAAUAGGAAUAAGGCAACCAAACAACAUUUGCACAGUCUCUGUAUCAAAUACAGUGCAGCCUCCUCAGGUUAAGGUGGUACAGUCAAAUCAGAGUUCUCAACUGCAGAUUAUCCAGUCAACAUCUGCUCAAACUGUGAAACGAAACCCUGCUUGCCAGACUACCCAGAUUAGGAUGCCAGUGGUAAUAACUCAGACCAUUAGACCACAAGGCACAGUAGGGAAGGCACCAACAAUACAAGCCGGCAAAAGUCCUGGGGGCUUUGGUGUUCAGGUCUCUGCAAAUCAGAAAAACAAGCUGAAUGACCCUGGAGGUGGUUCUUUCAGAGAUGACGAUGACAUCAAUGAUGUUGCCUCUAUGGCUGGUGUUAAUCUUAAUGAAGAAAGUGCCCGAAUUAUGGCUACCAACUCUGACUUGGUUGGAACCCAGAUACAGUCCUGUAAAGAUGAACCUUUUCUUGCUGCUAUACCUCUACAUAAACGCAUACUUGAAAUGGCUAAAAAACUAGGAAUUACUGAUGUACCAACUGAGGUGGUUACUUUUAUUUCCCAUGCAACACAAAACAGAUUAAGAACAGUGAUAGAGAAAGUAACAGUGAUAACCCAGCACCGAAUGGAAUCCUACAAAGAUGAUGAAUGGUACGAGCAAGCUACAGAUGUCCGAUCGCAGUUAAAGUUUUUUGAACAGUUGGAGCGUUUAGAAAAGCAAAGGAAAGAUGAACAAGAGAGGGAAAUUUUGCUAAAGGCUGCCAAGAGUCGCUCAAGGCAAGAAGACCCAGAGCAAGCUAGACUGAAACAAAAAGCAAAGGAGAUGCAGCAACAAGAACUUGCACAAAUGAGGCAGAGGGAUGCCAAUCUAACUGCACUGGCAGCUAUCGGCCCCCGGAAGAAACGGAAGCUUGAUUCACCUGGACUGCUCACCAUAGGAGGAGAGAUGUUUAACCAGCACCGGUGGCAUGUUUUCCUUCAACAAUUGCGGUAGGUCUUGUAGAAUGAGCACUUUUCAGCUGUUUGGAUACUGCACCUUUGACUAUUUACAGUUGGUUUAGUUCUGUUCAUCAAAAAUAGAAAAUAUGCAUUGAACAUUUCAUUAUUUGAUGGUGUACUACACCAUCUGCUGCCAUGAUGCACACAACUCUUCCUUGUUUUGAGAAAGGUACUGUGAAAUCUCGGUUUGAACCUGUAGGUUUUGAAAACAUACAAUGUACAGACAUGUGAGCAUUCCUGUUUUAACCCUUAGCAUUAUUAGAGAUUUCAAGAGCUUCUUCACAGCAUCUCACAAAUUAAAGGCUUAUCCAAGUACAGCCAUAAGAAAAAUACCGUUUAUAUCCUGCAUGGUAUUAAAAUAGUGGGAUUACUUGCUUUAUCAGUUUAAGGAGGUGGUAGAAAAUUGAAUCUCUCAUUUUGUGAUCGUUUCUCUUCUUUAAUACAUUUCACCUAGUUUAGAAGUAUGGAUCAGAAACUCACAAGGAAAACUGAUGCCCUUUCCUGCAGCUAAAUUAACAGGAAUCACGUGGAAAACAAUCUGAGCCUUGUAUGAAAAGGGGAGCCAUUAAAAUUAGCCCUGAGCUAUGGACUGCACCCAAUAUCACUAGAACUGCACUCACUGCAGAUGUGGAGGCUGGCUCUCAGGCAAACUGAGCUGUGUUGUAUAGCUACAAUUAAAAUCAACUCCUCUGCCAAAAAAUAAAAGGGAGGAGGGUAGAAGGAGAACAUCAAAGACAGAUUGAAAUGUGUAGUUAGUAAUAAGAGUGGUCUCCUCUUGAACCAAGCCCUGCAGCGAUUCAUGGCCCCCUUGUUAAUGAGAAAUUUUGACCUCUGGUUUGUAAGUUAAACUUGUAAUCCCAGCUAAUGAAGUAAAUCAAUCCCAACUUCAGUCUGUUGUUCCCAUUUUUCUUCGCACAGUGUGUCUGGGAGUUAGUAUCCAGGUCUACAAAUACAAUUUGGGGAAAAGAAAUUAUUCUGCUGCUGUGUAAGUUCUGUUUUGCAGAUUCACUUAAGCAUAUCUAAAGCAGACAGAUGAUUUUAACUUGUCUAUGUGCUUGUAAAAUGUCCUAAUAGUUUGGCUGUUUUAGAGACAUUUAAAUAAUAGGCCUAUGUUACCAUUUUAAAAGGAAAGCUGAAUUUGUAACUAUCCCAAAAUAUUCAUCUCAUAAACAGAUUCAUGCUUUAGAUAUGCAGCUCUGUUUGAAAUUAUUUGAGGAGCCUUCUUUUCAUUCUUGCUGUGUAUUUAAGGGGACACCGAUGAUAGUUUUGAAUCAGAAAUAACGACUUCCAUUGCAAAAUCGAUUCUGAGAGAAAACGGAUUCACUAGCGAUAAAAUGAAUGCAAAGCUAAGAUACUAAUUUUCAUAAUGGGUGGAUCAUCCUCUGAAAUACUUACUUCUAUGUCUUGUAAACCACUGGGUGACAAAAAACCCAGCCCGAAAUCCAGCCCAAGAGCCCUGGUAGAGCCUCUGCAUUGAUUCCAUGUCACACCAUGUUAUUAAAGAAUCUUUAAGAGAUCAGCAAAUGGUAGAAAAGGAAGUGGAGUCUUUGUGGCAAAAAUAAGAUUACACAUUUAUAACGUGAUUCCUUAAAAGAAAACAUUACCAGCUAGACUUAAAAAAAAAACCCACACGUUUGUAGCUGCUUCACAUUGCGACUGCAUUAGUAAUUGGUAUUGCUGCGGACCCUUCUAAAUGUUACAGACCCUUUUCUGUGCUGAUCCGUUUCUCUCCAAAGAGAGGUUUUUACGUUAUUUUGUGGCUAUUCAGUGCUACAGACACUGUAUUACAGGGACAGAAGCUUCCUAACAAGAUGUGUUUCUUUCAAAUGAAGGGGUACACAAGCUUCCCUCUAACUGUGGGCGGCUUGCUGCGUCUCCACAGGCACCUCCGCUCUCCCCGGCAGCUGCGGCGCCGUGCGGCGCAGGCUUUGGGCUCUCAAGUUUUUGGCUCUUCAUUUUUUGUAGCCAUAUUCCUGCAACUUGGUCAACAGACCUUACAGCACGCUACCGUGUUUUGUAGAUGUCACGCAUUUAGAUUUCUGUCAUGAAGAGGGAACAAAUGACCAAGUGCUGCUGUGUUUGAUGCAAUUUUAUUAUAGAAAAUAAGUUUUUUUACUUAUUAGUGAAGUAGGAUUCUCCGGGAAUGACAUGGUUCAGCAGUUUUUCCUGCCAUGGCCUUGGGGUGCUGUAUUUUGGUUACGUUGGGGUCUGUUCUUUCCGGAAGCAGAAGCCGUAUUAUGUUUAUGCCUUUAAAAAGAAGGUGACUCCUGACUGGAUUUGAUUCCUUGUGGCCAGAAAGCUGACACGGGGACUUCCUGAGGGCAGGAUUAUCAGGAGGCUGUUGGUGUGCCUGAAGGGAUGCAUUCCCCCGGGGUGGGGACACAAAGGCUCCUGCAGAGCCCCACUGAAUGACCUGUCAUCAGCAGGUGACACCUGGUCCGUGUCUGCUGCCCUUAACUGAUGGAGACUGGGGAGCACCGAGAAUGGUGAGAUUGAACCCAACUCCAGAAAAGGCCUCUUUGUAACCGACCCAAGGCUGUUUUGCAGCUGAGACAGACAGGGAUGGCCCCUGAGUAAGCUUCUUUUGGCUUUUCUCAGCAAAGCAAAAUCUGAUGGGUCCGGAAAAAGAGGUUGAUGAACAGCAGGUUUUGCAGAGGACCUGCAAGUUGAGGAGGGCGAGAUGCAAGAGGCCGUCUCCCAAGGAAAGGGAGGAAGAGCUGUUCUUUAGAGGAACAAAGUGUUAAUGCAACCCAAAUAUAGAGGUUAUAUCCCCUCAUAAGUUUUAGCCUGUAAUGUAUAUUUUUCCAAAGGAUCAAAUUUAUUACUCAGAGUUCCUCUGUAUCUAGAGGGACUCAAUUUGGUUUAUAAGUAACACAUUAAGUAUUAUGUAUGAUCUUCAAAGUACAUGUGAAGGGCUAUGUUAAACUGUAUACUAUUUUUGUUGAUGUACAAUCAUUAACUAUACCUGUAGUAUUAUUGGAGAUGCUCACGACCCUCAUAAUGAUUUGAAGCUGGGUGCUUUAUGCUGCUGCAAAUCAUUAGCACAUUAUAAGCAAGAGUUUAUAAGAACCUACUUUUUGUCUCACCAAAUUUGAAAGAAGCUUUGUUAAUUUUGACAACAAUUGGAGAAACACAGCAGUGAAUCUGUUCUCAAGUGAUAUACCUUAGUAUAUGGAGGAUCCUGUUGCGAAGAACUUCGAAAAUAAUCAUGGUUUAUUAGCUGCACAGUCUUUUCCUCUUUGUUUCUAUUCAUUUAAUUUGAAGUGAAACAACUCAGCAUGCAAAACUAAAAUUAGCUGCAAAAAAGGUGUAAGUGAAUAAACAGGCAAAUCCAUUAGAGUCGAUGGGUUAUUGGAUCCCUUGCCAUUCUUCAGAUGGCGGCCUAUUAAAAGUGGUAAUGUCUGCCUGCGGCACGGCCCUGGGGCACGCAAGAAGGCCAAGACAGGCAUAUUUCACAUGCAUCAGACACAAGAAUUAAAUAGACCAAUGUUCCCUAAAAGACUGAAGUACAUCUCUUUCUGACGUUCAUCUCGGGCAAAAAUUCAUUGAUCUCAGUAUGUCCCUUGGCAAUUAUAAAAUAUUAAAUCCAAGUCACACUUUUCUAGUUGGCUUAAUUUUUUCUCUAUUCACAGCUUUCUAUUUGAUCAAUUUUAACAAGUUAGGAAUAACAUCUAAUAAUAAAAUAAAAACUGCAGAGUGAAAAAGUUUGUUCAUUUGACAUUCUUAUCUUUUUGUGUUUAGUCUUUAGACUUGCCUGUCAUCUUAUUGUAUUUUAAAUAAAUUUGUGCGCUAAAUAGAUGAAAAGAAUAUAUAUUUAUACACACAAACCCCCCCUCCACUGUCUCCUUUGAAUUAGCAGUUUCUUUUCAAAGCUGGAUACUGGUAUGUGCCCAUAGUAUUACAAUGAAAUCUGUGUUUUAAAGCUAAAUCUGCGUAGUUAAUCAGCAUUGUUUAUUCCUGCUGUAAUUACUUCUGCUUCAUAUUUCUCUUAUAAUGCCAGGCUGGAAAAUGUAAUAUUGUAUGUAAUGUAUGUAAUGUACUUCUGAAUUACUACUUACACAAGCAUUUUUUUUCCUGUUUUAACCAGAAUUUGGGUUUAUUCAUAUAAAUACCAGUCAAGUAGCAAAAUGAAAAAUAACCUGUCAGAACCUGGAUCUUUUUAAACCGAAAUUUGGAGAUUGUAGCAUACAGUACAGAAGAACUAUUGGCUUUGCUAGUGGUCUUUGCUGAUGAGAGACUAAUUGUGAGGCAGUGUUGCUCCACACAGGCGCUCUACCUGUUGUGUUCGCCUGUUCCCUUCCUGCUCUGCAUUCUCAUCCGCCUGGCACACUUACAACCUUCCAUUCCUUAAAUAAGCUCAUUCGGUGGCCAACAGCUAUAAGCAAUCUUGGCAGAGAAGACGUCAAGAAGAAUGCUUAAAGUCUUCUUGGUUGGCUUUCAAAAAAUGACAAUUGUGAUUAUUUACUAUCAGCAAAAUUACCCCAUAGAAAGGUGGGGGAGGCCGACCAAUAGGUCUUAAAUUUUCAGAAAAGUGAAAUUUAAGGUUUUGCUUUACAUUUUGGAAGUGAGACCCUGCUGCCGUGUCACUACAGCUUUAUAAACUACUUGGUUUUUAUUUUUUUUUUAAGUAACAAAAGCUAUUUUAAGUAUUAAUUAGGCAGGAAAAAAAAAGAGUAUGGCUGCUGGUGUAGCUCCAUUAGCACCAAUGGAGAGAAAUGGGCUUGCCCUCAAUGCCUGGUUUUGAACAUAGACAGGUUAGAUAUAUAUUUCUGCGCUUUCUCAAUUGAAUUUUUAGCCUGGUAAACGUUUACAUUAACAUUCAACCUAGCAUGUGUAAGGUUAGGUUCCUUAUAUGUGUUUAUGGUCCCCAGCACAGGUUUGGUGAUUCGCAGCCCGGGGCAGUGACCAGUUCGCUCUGAUGGCUGCACUGAGGUCCCUGCUGCUAAAACGAGGGUGUUAGUACCUCAUAUCAUCCAUCCUUCUCUUUUUUGGGGGUGCUGGGGUAUUUUUUUGUUACAUUGCUAAUCGUGCCUUUCCCUUGCUGUCUCUUUGUACAGCGUAUGUUGUAAGAGAGCUCAUUUUCAGAUGGAGCGCAAAGGUGCAUGUAGUUACUAAUUGACCAGCAUCCGUCUGUCCUGCCUGUGACUAACAAAGAGGUGUGAGUACAAUGCAGUAUUCAGGGAACACAGGAAACUGCUGGUGACCCAGAAUCCCACCAGCUGUAGAGAUUUUUUUUCCCCCUUUUUCAUAGAAAUUGUGAUCCAGGCAUUUAAAAGUCACUUCAAGACCAACAUUACUCAGAAGCAUAUUGAGUCCUGAAAAAAUGCACGUCAUCUUCCCUUUCUAAAAUUAAUUCUUUAUUCUUCUGGAAGAACCACAAUUUUAAAAAGGUCUGCAAUAGAACGUAGACUAAAAUGCAAAUGCUGGUCUGUAUCUCUCUCCCUAUAUAUAUAUAUAUAAUGUUUUCUAAUUCCAUACCUGGUUUACUAUCAGCCGUUCGAUAUAGAACUAUAAGCUGUCUCAAACAUGGCUGAGACUAAUCCUAAUGAGAUUAGAAGAGUUGUGUUCUGUGUUGGGUGACUGCGAAUUGACGGGAUAAAUUGGAUCUUUCCCAGUUUCAGCAUAUGACUUGGUAAUAUAUUCUCUGUAAUGGUGCUUGUGUUGAACAGCCCACACACCUUAAUGACCAGCCCAAAUUUGAUUUCAGUUUCUUACCUGAUGGACUGACACAAAAUAUGUUCUUUAUUAAAACCCUGAUUCUAAUUGAAGUUUUGUCUAAUUCAACAUUAAUAUAUUGGAUUCAAAUGAUACUUCUGUUCAAAAUAGUUUCCUUUAUUGAUUCCUUGCUGCCACCAACCAUAUACUCCUAGUCUUGUGCUAUUUAUCUCAUCUGCCCUGAACAUAACUCUUGCCUGUUUGUCUUCGAAUUUAUAAAUUGCAGAACUGGGUUUGCUCUUGAAAUCCACUUAAAAUUCUGUAAUUCAACAAAAUGAGACAAAACUAUGAUUUUCACUUCUAUUUUCCAUGAGUUCACAUUAUAUGAAAGCUGUGCUUCCCCAGCUAGUAUUUUAUUCUGCAGAAACAAAUAUAGCUGUUCUUAAUUAAAAAAAAAAAAAUCCAUUAAACAUAAAUUAAUGAUAGUUUAAUCAGUUUGCUGGCUGUUUACAUGUUUUUUUCCUAGUCAGUUCUGCAUCCUGAUAUUCUUGAUAUUCUUACACAUUAUGUUACGAUGCUAUGAUCCAAAAGUGAAAUGAACAGCUGUAAAAAGCGACAACGUUCUAUUUUAAGGAUGUACAAUAUUGUUUAUUAAAAUCAUGCUGUUUAAAGAACAUUUCACUGAACUUCAUUUUUCUUGAACUGCAUACUAAUUUUAAAGGUCAGUAUGGUUAGUUACCAUAGUAGUGACCUAAAAAUAACCUUUCUAGUAUACCUGUAUAUUUCUGAUCUGUAGUGUUAGCAUUCAGAAAUGUUCUUUCCCUUAGAGUUUCAGCAGCUAAAUAAGUUGCAACCCCUUCAGCUAUACUCAUAAAAAUUUGCUUCCAGACAACAUGGUCUGUUUAUUGUGUAAUAAUCGAAAUGGCACUAAAUUGCAAUGAUUGCCGAACACUUAGGAAUUGCAUUAACCACUUAACUGCUAAACUAUUUUCCAUUUUCUUCCUCACUGUGAAGUAUUAUAUUGAUUUUCCUCUUAGUUAGAGCUGCUUAUUCAACCUCUGAGAUGAACAGAAUAUUUUAGUAGCCUUGUACAUUGUCAUAUUUUGAGUCAAUCAGCAGUGACCUUGGCUAAGAAUUUUCUAGAGGUUUUUAAAAAGCUAUUAUCAAGCAAAAUAGCUCACAGUCCAUAGCCUUGGAUCUUUACAGAAAAUAAGGGGAAACACAAAACAUCUCGGAGUGAGUUUAAAAAAUUAGGAGAAGAAUUACAUUUUUCUCUUUCUAUAUGAGAUGGGUUAUUCCGUAUUACCUUUAAUACGCUGUUGCUAAGAUAAAUUAGUUAACAGUUAUAAGGUCAUGUGCAGGGACUUAAUUGUAGCCUGCUAUGUGGUGUUGGGAGUGUAACUCAAAAUCUAAAUACAGGGAUAGGUGAAGAAUUUUAGUAGUGCCCUUGUUUUCUAUGGGGCUGUUGAUGACUCCUUGUUUUCCAACUGUUCCUUAUUGACCGAGGUAAAACAGACGAACAUUUGAGCAAUAUCCAACUUCCAAGCUCCAUGGUGAUUGCUAGCUCCACUACUCCUCUUACCAAAUAUUUUCCUUUAAAAUUUAUUUCCUUUUCCUCUCCAAAUCCCAGUCCUGUUUGUUUGUGAGAAAACUUGUCUUAAAAAGCAGAGGGGCUUUUCAAUUUGUGUUUUUGUGUGUUUUGUUUUUUUUUUUUUUUAAGCAAAACCUUUCCUGAAAUCCUGCUGCAAAAAAAAAUUAAGGGGUGGGGGGGGAAGUCUGAUACAGGUAAGGAAGAGUUAACUAGAAAUGGAGCGGGGAUGCUGGGGGGCAGCAGUGCUGCAGAACAUAGCAGUGUUCGUGCGAAGGCAAGUCAUUUCCCGAAACACUGCAGACACAUGGCCCCGGGCAGUCUAAAACCUUUGGAGACCAAAAUGGCUCGCAGGAGUUAGAAGUAAUAAGGUGUUUUUCCCUUCUUUCUCCUUCACUGAAAUUCUGUAAGGUUGCUAUGCAUUACCAAGGAACAAUGCCACUAUUUUUGUGUUUUAUAUGGGUAUUAAGAUCCAUUACAAUUUGACAUUUUUAAGAUUGGUUAUCCUGUAGUUUGGUGUUAAAUUGAAGUUGUUUGUUUUGAAUUUAAUUCUUUCAUUUUUCAAAGGGAAAAAAGGCAGCACUGCUGUGCUGAUAGCUUACUGAAGUAUGCCAGGAUUUGACGUUUGAAUUGAAUGUUUGCUAUCCCAAAAUACAGGCAAAAUUGUCUGCAAAAGAAGUCUUGAUUUUUCUAUUUUUUAACCAUUUUUUUAAGUUCCAAAGAUGCUUUCUGGCUAGCUUUUCGCCAUCAGAUUGUAGAAGAUAUUACACAUACAGCAUAUUUAAUGCACACUGUUUCUGGGAUUAUUUUUAACACUGUGUUACGCGUCCAAGACGUAUUGUGCUUAAUGCAACCUGCUUAUGAUUAUUAUAACCCUUAUAUGUUUGCAGCAGCUAAAUAAACUCCACAUCAAAUAAAUUACUGCAGCAAUGUUAUUAGGCCAGCAGCAAUGUUAAGGACAUCUGUUAACUCUUUUUCAAAUGCCCUGUCCUUACUCGUUUAUUCUAAACAUUUCUGUUGUUAAUUACUACUUAAGUACAUCCAGUAGUCAUUCCCACAGAGCUGUGAAGACCAGCUGAGGAGGACCAGGCAGGUUUAGGUCCCAGUCUCAGCCUUGCUCUGAUUGCCACUGUGAGGGGGGGGCCUGUAGCUUAUUGUUCUAGGGUAAACACAGGAAAAUCAGGGUAGUUGACACAUAUUUCCAUUUUUGCAGUUACAGCUCUAGUCAAUGAGACCUCAUCUCAAUCAGCAUGGCGUAGUCUGAGCAACUUGCCCUGCUUAGGCUCUCAAAGUCUAACUUCUUGUUAUUAGAGCUGGUGAAACAAAAAAAUGGCAAUGAAACUUUCUGUGUCAAAAUAUGUUUUUGUCAAGGAUAAAAUGUUUAGCAAAAAUACAUCUGUUUCAAAAACAUAUUUGUCAAGAAGGUUUCUCAGCUCCGAGAUGACAUUUCUAGUGAGAAAGUGAGUCUAUUGCUGAGUGGUUGCAGCCCAGAUCUGGGAGAUGAAAGAUGAGCAGCGCCUUAGCCACUGGGUUGACGAGUCUCUCUGCCAAUCGCGUUUGUUAUAAUGCAGAAUGAAAACAUUGUUGAGAAUUGAAAUGUUUUCCGGCUUAGUCUUUAUUAUGUGGUAAAACGUUACACAUCAGAACCCGGUUCACGGUUCUUCUAAAAAUAAUCUCUUUCCAUUUGAAAUUCAUGUGAGACCGUAACAUGUUUUCCGAUCUGGCACCAAGAGUGGCCCAGGUCUCAUCUUUAUUUGUAAUUUGGUGAAUUGCAGGUAUUUGAUCAUGAAAACAAACAGGAUGCUGUUUUUCAAAGCUUGGAUGGAACUUAAGAGCAAACCUGCUAAAUUAAAACAAGCAAUAAUAAAAGGACCCGCAGAAAUUCUUUAUAGACAGUGUCUAAAAGGUUUCUGUUUCUGUUGGGAGGUUUGCCAGAGCAGUGUGGAGCCAUGUAGCUUUUCAUCAGCGUUGUAGGAAAAAUAGAUGCAAAGUAAGGAAUAGUCGAUAAGUGUGUUUUGGUUUUGUCAUCUGAGCAAUGUCUGAUUUUGAAAUUACAGUCUUGCCUCUCAAUAUGAUUGAGGCAAACCUGUAGUAUAUACUUGCAGUAUUGCCAGCUCCAGAAUUUUCUCUUGCUCAUUACUACUGUAAUUCAGUUAAUCACAAAGCGCAUGGGGCUCAUUGCAGUGUGUGAGGCUGUGGAGGAUCACAGCUCGGAUACAAACCUCUCGUUAAAUGAUUCACCCGCAAACAGCCGGAGCGACCAAAGACAGGACUAACUGCCUGCAAGUGCACAAAUUUCAGGUUGCAGGAUGGCAUCUCCUCCUUUGCUCUCCUCCUUGGCCAGACCAAGGCGCCCCAGUGAGCCCUUGACCUCCAGUGGCAAAGCCGGUAGGGAGAUUCCCACACCUGCUCCCCAGAGUCUGUCAGAUAAGAUCAUGGAUUGGCCAACUUUUGUUUAUGGGCCAAUGAAUUAUGCAGCUGGGGUAAUUAGAUGUUUUGUUUUGUGAUUCAGGAUUAUGCUCCUAGGGUGCCAACCUAGGAAAGUCUUCGAAACUGCAUAAUAAAAGUUAUUUUUAUGCAGAAGUGGAAAUAUUUGAAUGCAAAAGAGAGUUGAGUGGGGAUAGCUAGUGUCCCCCCCGUAUUUGGAGAGGAAAUGUGCAGCAUAACCUCUAGUUGUUAUCCAUUAAAGCUUUGAUUUCUCUUGCAUUGUAUGGCGAAGGAAUAGGCUAUUGUAGCAUAAACUCCAAAGGAAAAUUAGUAUUUCUGUCUUCCCCCAAGCAGACCUGUAAGACACACAUGUUUUUGUGUAGAUGGAAAACAUAUAUGGAAUUAUAUGUGUGUAUUCAGAGACUCUGUUUAUUUGUAUAGUUACUGUAUGCUAUUUGUGUAAUAGAAUCCUGAUUGCAACUAAAAUUCAAUAUUCUUUAGCUAAACCAUCGUUUCCAUGAUAUCCUUCUCUGCAUAUUUUGAAAGACAUUUGAGGUAGCAGACUAGUAUGUAGUUUUGACUUCUCUAACCUACAUGCCUUAUGUUUGUGCCUCAAGAUAACAUUGAAUAACAUAUUUAAACUACUCAUGUGUGAAAAAGCAAAAUUAUAUCUCAUGAACUGAUUUCUUCACACAUUCAAAAAUUGAAUUCCCCUUUUGUUCAGAAACUCAACAGAAAUCAGAAGGAAAACAAUGUUUGCAGAAAUUAUACAGUAUUUCCAAAUGGAGACACUAUGGAUGCCUUUAAUGAGAAGGGAUUAUAUUAAUUUUAAAAGUUAAAUCAUUUGACAAAGGUAUUUUAUAAAUGUAGUUUUCAUUCUGUAGGCAUUACAGUCUGGUUCAGUUGAUAAUGAGUCAGAAGUUUACUGAGCUGUUAUGAUUUAAUAUUUUGAGUUGAAUCUUGAUAUUGUAAAAUAGUAAUUGUUGAUAACCAUAUUUGAUUCUUUCUUCAAUUUCAUCACCCACGAGAACCAGUACCGUCAAAUGCUAAUGCUCUAUUUACAUACAAUAAAAACUAGCGGUGCUUAUGUUCUUGUGGCUAUCAUUAAUAUUUGUUAAACGUAUAUUUGCUUUCUAUAUGUCUGUGAGUAUGUAGUAGUUUUGUGUGGGUAUGUAUAAAUUAUACCAAAGCCAUGGUCUUUCAAGGAUUUUAAUUACUAUGUAGCUGUUCUUUGAGUUUUUCUAGACAAGGCAGACAUGAAAUGAUGAGCUGUUCUGCAGUCCCUAGCAUUAAAGCUGUUAAAGCUCAGACUUUGGAACUCCAACAUCUAUUUGAAAACAGAACUUGAUAACACAGGAUGCAAGUCUAAAAUAACCAAACCAAAACAAAAUCACAAACCAAACUCUGGGGAGAACUUAUGUUUAUUACCAUAUAAUUAACAUUUUCUUUUUCAGUAUGAUGCGACUGUUUAGCUUUUAUGGGUAUGCAGAGUAGCGAGAUGGUAAGGCGUUACAGUAACUUUGCUGUUGGUGCAAAACCAAAUUAGACUUGGUCUGCUUCCUAGUGCGAGUUGGUUAGACAGAGACCGAGUUGGGCACUGUGCGGAACAUUGCUCAAAACCUGGCGAUUGCUCUUGGAAACUGUUGAGUUGCUGGAGUUCCACUGAAGGUGAUGUGCUUUUUGAUGUAAGAAACCAAACACUUUAUAAAUCAGUUUGUAAAGAGCAAUAUUUUUCAGAAUAAAUAAUGUUCUGGUUACUGAUUUGUGUCAUUAACUGGCCUGUAGUUUUGAAGGAAUAUUUGUGUAAGACCAAAUUAAGUCACUUGGGGAGCAGCGAAGGCUUGUGAAGAGCAGCGUGUAAUCCGGCCAUGCAUUUUGCUGCAAUUUAAUUUUGAAAGGGUAAGUAGAAGCCAAGGUAUAAGAACUUGGGCAGUUAGUGGGAAAAGCUGAUAUGGGAUUAUCAAGGUUAGAGUUCAGAUAGAACAGAUGGUAAAAUAGUUAUAACCUACUGCACCAUAUGUUACUGCCACACGCAUUCAGGUAGCACAUGACAUGUCCUGUGUGGAAAGAUCAGUGGUCCUAACGCAGGUUUUUGGAAAGACCAAAAAAGCCCUUGAAAAACUGAUUUAAUAAUUUCAGGCCAGGUUAAUGAGAAAGCUGUAACUGGUUCAACUCGCUAGUCCAGAAAGGGACACAAAAUAUUAGACACAGCACGCAGCUUUAUCUGUUCUAAUUCUGAGGAAGCUGAAAUGAAGCUUGUAUUUCAGAUCUAUUCCAGGCUCAUUAUACUUGAAUUUCUGGGGAAAGUAUUUAAAGAAUAAACAGUUUCACAGGACUUGAAUUCAGAGCAUUGAAAACAGGUUAUGAUGUGAUUUAUGAUUUUUGUAACUUUUAAUCAGGGGCCAGGUUUUCAUAGGAGCACGCUGUUAAGGUGCCAAUGAAGUGAUAAAAUUCUCAUUGGAAACAACUGGAGCUUCACUGGGUUAGAGGACUUUAGAAAAUCUGACUCGUGAUCCAUAAUCUCUGCUGUUAUUGCUGAAAUACUUCUUAAAGAAUCUGAUCUGAUACCAUGAAAAUCGGAAGGUAUAAGACAAGAAAGAGAAAAAAGGGUUAAUAAGUCAGAAGUGCUCAGAGAAGAAGUGGAAUGGUAGCAAAGAAGAAAAAUGAAGGCAGAGAGUUGUGAUUUGGAGUGGUGCUAAAGAGCCUCUGGGCCUGAGAUUCAUCUCGCAUUUUAUAAUGCUCAUGUUGUGUUGUAUCAUAAUGCGCUUGCUCCUACUCGAGCUGCUUCUCCUCUCUUAUUGCCAAUGGUAAAAAUAGGCCAGUAGCAUCAUUUCGUACUACCGGGUGCAUCCUGAAUUCCGCGUUGUUAUUCACUUGCCUCUCUAAUUAAUGUAGUAAUCCUGUGCAGUGUGUGCAUGUGUACGUUGGCGUGUGUCUGCUCGGUUGCCCUCUUCCGUCAUCUGUUCGAGUUCUCACGUUGCUGAUGAUGGGUUUGCCAGCUCCCUUCCAAGACGCUGAAUAUAUUGCACUCGGCGGCCUUUUGUUUAACUUUGCCAAAAAAUAACUCCCAUCGUGAGCCUGUGUUUUUUGGCUGGUACUUUGGGGAAGGUUUUUCUUCUGUAGUUGCAAACCUCUUUUUUAUAUGUUUAUUUUAUUUUGGGAGUAAAUAGAUCUGAGAGCCUUGUCAGUUUAUACACUGAUCAGUGUCAACUUUCAGGGCCUGUCAGUAAUAGCUAAGCAAUAUGUAUCAGAUGAUUAAUGCUAUUAGGCAAUUUUUUUGUCUUAGACUUAUUACCUGUUAUAUUAUAGUAUCUGUUUUAAUUAGAGAUUGUAAUGAACCCUUUGAUUUUGGCUAUCUGUUUUUUAAUUUAUUUAAAAUAAUAACUAUAUAUUGGGGUUUUUUUUUCUAAUAAAUGGGAGGUUGUAAUAGUUACUUGUUAAUUCUUCUUUUCUUGAGGUAGUCUGAGUGGUAUCCGAAUGUAUCAGGAUAGAAAGAUGACAGGCUAGAGAGAACUAAAAAUGGAGCUUUAACAUCUGAAAAAAAUGUUUAUGGAGGAAGAUAAGGAUUUGGGAAUUCAUGUAGUAAGAGGAGAUUACAGGGUUUUUAAUGUUAGAGCAAAGUUGCAAUUGUCAGUAUACUAUAGUUGAACUGAUCUGCGUUUACUCAAGGCUUGACUGUCUUAUUUUGUCUGAUGACGGAGAGAAAGGAAAAACCUGGAGGUUAGAGGACAGUAUGAAGCAGAGGGGCUUUGUUUGUUUGGGUUUUGUUUGGCUUUUGUUGUUGUUUUGUUUUGUUUUAUGUUUUUCUUGAAAAAAUAAUAAUAAUAAGGUGCUAGAAGCGUGUGUGCUGAAGCAUCUGAAGCUCCUCGGCAGAUGAGGUUGCAGUGUGGAGGACAGGGAGCGAUGGCGAGUGCUGGGGACUGGCAGGUCACGGAGCGUUUCGGCUCCGAGUCCCGGAGCACUGACCCCGGUGUGGACGAGGAGAGAGGCCAGGGCUUGGGAAGGGACCCGAGAGACACGGGAGGGAAGCAGCACGUGGUGACGCUGACGUGCGAGGGGAUGUGGAGGGGAAGGUAUUGAAUGAGGGCUCCGAGAAGCUUGCUGGUGUCUGUAGGGGAGAAAACCCACCUUGUGUCCUUUUUGGAGCCGUUCUUCUGGGAGUUAUUUGUGCCAAGCCGAUUCAAGUUUUCAAAUGUUUUAUGAACAAACCACUGCCUUAAAAAGAGUAAAGAGUGAGACUUAGUUGUGAGAAACAGAAAUGUUAAGAAAUCAAGAAAUGAGUGGCCAAAUGAUUCAGCAGCUUCUCCCCGCUGAACCGUCAUCUCUCCCUAACGUCUGAAAUGCACCAGGCCUUAAUUAUAUUCCAUGAUAUAUGCAGUAAUAGAGUGUUAGCUAUCUUCCAUAUUCUAUUUACAGGUAUAACGUCUUAUUUCCUGUGCACAGGACUGUGUUCUGACAAUGUGUUUAUCUUGCAAGCUGAAGGUAUUAAUAAUUAGUGCUUAAUUCUAUUGCCACUCAGUUCUGAGAUAACCGCAUCACAUCACCUGCUUUGUUUUCUUUUAUGUAAUGGGUUGGGUGUAUGAUUUUGGGCCAUGCGCUACCCUCAAUCCACAGAGGAGCCUCUGUUAAUUAUAGGGAAAGGUUUAUACCCCUGUUUGUAGAUUAGACGAGCAACUUCUACAUGGGAAUAAAAUGUGCCAAGAGCUGGUAGGUCUGUGGCUAUUUUUGCCCUUUGUUUGGCAAGUGGUGCAUAAAGUCACUUGAUUGGCACGUGCACAAUUGGUGGGAGCGCACAAGAUGGCCCACAGUUGCUAACAUAAUGAUUUUAAAGUCUGGCUGUUAUACAUCAUAAUUAGGCUUAAGAACUGAGAGUCAGUUGAGAUGAAUGAGAGCAAUUCUUGCUCUCAGGAGUUGAGAAAGUGAUUUUGGUUUAGAUUCUGCAUUUGUAAGAUAUUUUUUUUUCCACACAAGCAUCUCUGUCUUCUGCUCUUCCCCCUCCCAUGGGAGGGCUGGCAGUAUACAAAACAUCUAUAUGAUAUCUGUGUCUCACCGUAAAUAGGCGAGCUGUAGUUAGCACGUGAAGUGUCGUGAUGCGCCUCUUAGCGCUGACUUUUUCUUCAUCAAAACCAGCUGUGAAUGGGGCUGCUCCCCACAGAGACCGUGUCCCCUACACUCGUUCUGCUCAGCGUGUCUUCAGUAAGAGAGAGACCAAAAAAGCAACCUUACUGGCUAGCAAUCAUGUCUGUUUUAGUUAGGUAUUUAAGUAACUAAAUUUUACAGUUACAUGUGUCUAGAGAUUGAGUGUCAAGAAUAUUUUAAUUAUUCUAAGUUUCUGAUUAAAUCGAAGUGCCAAUCAUACAGGUUAGGAAAGAAAACGCCACCCACUAUGUAAAGCUGAGAUAGUUUUGAGCUACUAUCAAGGAUUACCGCAAGGAGAAAUUCAGGUGGGAAUCACGUAUGAUUCAAGGAAGAUGUGAAUCCUGCAAGUUAGGCUGCAGGGCUUCUCCCAAGGCUGGUUUGACGUUUCUUGACUCUUCCGAGAGAAUACAGGGAUGUACAGCAUGACUGGGCUGGAGCGAGGUGGGCAAGUCCUUUAAAAAACAAAACCACCACCAAAAAACCCCAUGCUAUUAUUGAAAGAUGAGAAGGGAAAAGCACCACAAUGCUUGAAAAAUAACAAUAAAAAAAAUGUGGCAGGAUUAGUAUUUCAAAGGGAGCGGCACUUUAUUAAACAUUUGGAAAGCAUGGGAGGAGAAACAUUCCAAACAAAAUGAAAAUAUAUGUGUACGAUGGAAACAGGAUAAAUAGAAUAUUCCACUUGUAAUUACCACUGCAAGAACACAGCCCAAAUUUAGAGUUCUUAAUCUUAAUUUUUCAUUGCUUUUAAGUCCAAGUAAGGUGAGCGGAUUGUGGUAGGUAUGAGAUGUUUGUGGAUAAAGACGUUGGCAAGGUCUGUAGCUGCAGUGAGGAGCAGGUCCAUGAACAAAGUAAAUGGAAAGACCUGGAGCCUGCACCACCGGGCAAAUCCUGACUGUGACUGGACAUCAGAGGAUACAAGGCAUCUGUUCUUAUCGCGUACCAAGUGAGGGGCACAGAGAGGCCUUGGAAAGGUUAGAAGUCUUUGCGGAAUGCAGAGCUGGAUCUCUGUGCAGGGAAAUCUUGAGGUUUUCUGUGUUAUUUAGAGAUCUGCGUGGAUAAAUUGAUUAAGAAGUUAAAAUCAGCUGCAGUCGGGUUUCUUCCUGAGAAUGACCUGUUGAGGACCAGGCGGCUGAACAACCGUAUCCCUUGAGCAGGGCCUGGGCAUGUCCGGCGGGAGUCAGGCUGGCGCGGGGGCUCCUUCGGCCAGGCAGUAUGCACGACAGAAAAUCACGCGCGUAAACCUCAGGGACUUCAUCUUCUACAUGGAACAGGAAAGAGAAACGAGCC